CUACGGGGCGCAGCAGUGAGGAAUAUUGCGCAAUGGGGGGAACCCUGAUGCAGCAACGCCGCGUGGAGGAUGACGCAUUUCGGUGUGUAAACUCCUUUUAUAUGUCAAGAAAAUGACGGUAGCAUAUGAAUAAGCACCGGCUAACUCCGUGCCAGCAGCCGCGGUAAUACGGAGGGUGCAAGCGUUACUCGGAAUCACUGGGCGUAAAGGACGCGUAGGCGGGUUGGAAAGUCAGGUGUGAAAUCCUACAGCUUAACUGUAGAACUGCACUUGAAACUUCUAAUCUAGAGUAUGGGAGGGGGAGAUGGAAUUAGUGGUGUAGGGGUAAAAUCCGUAGAUAUCACUAGGAAUACCUAAAGCGAAGGCGAUCUCCUGGAACAUUACUGACGCUAAAGCGUGAAAGCGUGGGGAGCAAACAGGAUUAGAUACCCUUGUAGUC
This 439-nucleotide ribosomal RNA is filed under the name uncultured bacterium. RNAcentral describes it as "partial 16S ribosomal RNA". It matches the Rfam family "Bacterial small subunit ribosomal RNA", at positions 339 to 795 of the family's 1533-position model. The record is from RNAcentral.